Non-coding RNA from Acanthosepion pharaonis, 112 nucleotides. Lineage: Eukaryota; Metazoa; Mollusca; Cephalopoda; Sepiida; Sepiidae. The record is from the annotation of a GenBank genome assembly.
UUAUGGUCAUAUCAUGUUGGAACAGCGGUUCUCGUACGAUCACUGAAGUUAAGCAACGUCGAGUUUGAUCAGUACCUAUAUGGGUGAGCAAUUGGAAACACCAGGUGCAGUA